AGUGAACGCUGGCGGUAGGCCUAACACAUGCAAGUCGAACGGCAGCACAGUAAGAGCUUGCUCUUACGGGUGGCGAGUGGCGGACGGGUGAGGAAUACAUCGGAAUCUACUUUUUCGUGAGGGAUAACGUAGGGAAACUUACGCUAAUACCGCAUACGACCUACGGGUGAAAGCAGGGGAUCUUCGGACCUUGCGCGAUUGAAUGAGCCGAUGUCGGAUUAGCUAGUUGGCGGGGUAAAGGCCCACCAAGGCGACGAUCCGUAGCUGGUCUGAGAGGAUGAUCAGCCACACUGGAACUGAGACACGGUCCAGACUCCUACGGGAGGCAGCAGUGGGGAAUAUUGGACAAAGGGCGCAAGCCUGAUCCAGCCAUACCGCGUGGGUGAAGAAGGCCUUCGGGUUGUAAAGCCCUUUUGUUGGGAAAGAAAAGCAGCAGGUUGAUACCCCGCUGUUCUGACGGUACCCAAAGAAUAAGCACCGGCUAACUUCGUG
RNAcentral lists this ribosomal RNA (492 nucleotides) under uncultured bacterium. RNAcentral's name for it is "partial 16S ribosomal RNA". It matches the Rfam family "Bacterial small subunit ribosomal RNA", at positions 29 to 507 of the family's 1533-position model. The record is from RNAcentral.